RNAcentral lists this ribosomal RNA (487 nucleotides) under uncultured bacterium. Its description in RNAcentral is "partial 16S ribosomal RNA". It matches the Rfam family "Bacterial small subunit ribosomal RNA", at positions 28 to 507 of the family's 1533-position model. The record is from RNAcentral.
GACGAACGCUGGCGGCGUGCUUAACACAUGCAAGUCGAACGGGCUCUGUCUGGCUGUGUGCUGGGUGGGGGUCGUGGCGAUCGGUUGAGUAAUACGUGAGUAACCUGCCCUCUUCUUUGGGAUAAGCCUUGGAAACGGGGUCUAAUACUGGAUAUUCCUGUCUGGUCGCAUGGCUGGGUGGGGAAAGUUUUUUUCGGUGGGUGAUGGGCUCGCGGCCUAUCAGCGUGUUGGUGGGGUGAUGGCCUACCAAGGCGUCGACGGGUGGCCGGCGUGAGAGGGUGAACGGCGGAACUGGGACUGGGUCACGGCCCAGACGGGUACGGGCGGCAGCAGUGGGGGGUAUUGGACAAUGGGCGCAAGCCUGAUGCAGCGACGCUGCGUGGGGGGUGACGGCUUUGGGGUGGUAAACCUCUUUCGUCGGGGGACAAGGCUCUGCUUGGUGGUGGGGUUGAGGGUACCCGGUGAAGAAGCGCCGGCUAACUACGUG